GUCCACGCCCUAAACGAUGCAGACUGGGUGUUGUCGCCAUUGGCGUCAGUGCCGAAGCUAACGCGUUAAGUCUGCCGCCUGGGACUACGAACGCAAGUUUAACUCAAGGAAUUGACGGGCCCGCACAAGCAGCGGAGCGUGUGGUUUAAUUCGAUGCAACACGAAGAACCUUACCAGGGCUUGACAUGUAGGUGGUAGUGAACCGAAGGGGAACGACCCGCAAGGGAGCCUGCACAGGUGAUGCAUGGCUGUCGU
This 255-nucleotide ribosomal RNA is filed under the name uncultured bacterium. RNAcentral describes it as "partial 16S ribosomal RNA". It matches the Rfam family "Bacterial small subunit ribosomal RNA", at positions 793 to 1055 of the family's 1533-position model. The record is from RNAcentral.